UAGGGAAUCUUCCACAAUGGGCGCAAGCCUGAUGGAGCAACACCGCGUGAGUGAAGAAGGGUUUCGGCUCGUAAAGCUCUGUUGUUAAAGAAGAACACGUAUGAGAGUAACUGUUCAUACGUUGACGGUAUUUAACCAGAAAGUCACGGCUAACUACGUGCCAGCAGCCGCGGUAAUACGUAGGUGGCAAGCGUUAUCCGGAUUUAUUGGGCGUAAAGAGAGUGCAGGCGGUUUUCUAAGUCUGAUGUGAAAGCCUUCGGCUUAACCGGAGAAGUGCAUCGGAAACUGGAUAACUUGAGUGCAGAAGAGGGUAGUGGAACUCCAUGUGUAGCGGUGGAAUGCGUAGAUAUAUGGAAGAACACCAGUGGCGAAGGCGGCUACCUGGUCUGCAACUGACGCUGAGACUCGAAAGCAUGGGUAGCGAACAGGAUUAGAUACCCUGGUAGUCCAUGCCGUAACGAUGAGUGCUAGGUGUUGGAGGGUUUCCGCCCUUCAGUGCCGGAGCUAACGCAUUANCACUCCGCCUGGGGAGUACGACCGCAAGGU
RNAcentral lists this ribosomal RNA (546 nucleotides) under uncultured bacterium. Its description in RNAcentral is "bacterial SSU rRNA". It matches the Rfam family "Bacterial small subunit ribosomal RNA", at positions 355 to 894 of the family's 1533-position model. The record is from RNAcentral.